Molecule: non-coding RNA, 467 nt
Organism: Pelobates cultripes (western spadefoot toad)
Lineage: Eukaryota; Metazoa; Chordata; Amphibia; Anura; Pelobatidae
Source: the annotation of a GenBank genome assembly
GUUGGAACAGAUUUCCAUCAGGUAAAUAUACCUUAGUAUGUCGACUCCUUUGUGGCAAAUGCACGGUUCUCCGACUUUUUGAAAAUUGGCCUCAGAAUAAAGAGCUUUCGCUCAAACAGCUUAAAGAAAAAUUAGUUAUGUUGUUUUGUCUCAUCUCCUGUAAACAUGUCUCGGAUGUUGGUGCUCUGGAUAUUACGGCACGUUCAUUUACUCCAACAGGCGUUUCAUUUGACAUUUCAAGACGCACGAAGCCGUCCAUUACUUCGGUCUUUUAUUCAGCUUUUCCACAUAACAUCAACCUAUGCCCAGUGGCCUGCCUCAAGGAAUAUGAAGAGAGGACCGCUUCAAUAUGUGAUCCUAUAUAUCUGUUUCUAGCAUUUUGACGUCCAUAUCAACUAGUUUCUACAGUCACCUUAUCUCUUUGGGUGAAUAUCAUUGGUGGACAUCGAUACUUCUGCAUACAGUGC